This 207-nucleotide ribosomal RNA is filed under the name uncultured bacterium. RNAcentral describes it as "partial 16S ribosomal RNA". It matches the Rfam family "Bacterial small subunit ribosomal RNA", at positions 568 to 774 of the family's 1533-position model. The record is from RNAcentral.
UACGUAGGCGGUUUAUUAAGUCAGAUGUGAAAGCCCCGGGCUUAACCUGGGAACUGCAUUUGAUACUGGUAAACUAGAGUAUGGUAGAGGGGGGUAGAAUUCCUAGUGUAGCGGUGAAAUGCGUAGAUAUUAGGAGGAAUACCAGUGGCGAAGGCGGCCCCCUAGACCAAUACUGACGCUGAGGUACGAAAGCGUGGGUAGCGAACA